CCGCCUUCCAAUGAUACGAGACAUUCAGUGUACUGGACAAGAAAGUCACAUAAAUAAUUGCACAUACAGAACACCGCACUUCGGCGACAAAUGCAUCGAUGGCGCAGUAGCUCUUGUUUGUACAGACUGCGGUCAAGUAAACGUUUCAAAUGGGCAAAUAACGACAUACAAUGACACGUCGAGAACGUUAACAAUUCGAUGUCAUACUGAUGACCCAGCCUAUGUUCAAUACAUAUGUGGAAACAACGGACUAUGGAAUAAAACUGCCGAAUGUAUGCCAGUAAAUAUCCAAGACAUUCGCCUAAUGAACCAAGCAUUAUAUCUGUAUCAAGGCACAGUAGAGCUUAAAAUCAACGGCACAUGGGGGACCAUCUGUGACGGCAUGUUUGCGAAAGAAGAAGCAACCGUUUUAUGUAGAAUGCUAAAUGCUAGUUACUAUUCAUACACGACAAAUGGAGAGUACGGU
Dreissena polymorpha is the source of this 466-nucleotide long non-coding RNA. RefSeq lists it as uncharacterized. Lineage: Eukaryota; Metazoa; Mollusca; Bivalvia; Myida; Dreissenidae. The record is from RefSeq and is a predicted model, not a curated record. The transcript is spliced from 4 exons.